CUUAGGUCACUGGGUUGCUUGGGAUAAUACCCCCCAUCCCCAAAAGGGCCCUUUUCACUUCCCCUUUUGUAGAUUAUAAGAACAGGGAUUUUACUAAGAUCAGAACUGACGGCUGAGUAGCAAACAAGCCUCGGAUUAAAGCAUUGCGGGAGUCAGGGCCGUCUAAUUUGUUACUCCUGGAAGGCAGUCAAGCGUCUCCAGCAAGGAAAGCAGCCGGAGGGGGGAGCCACCUAGCCCGAGUUGCUCGAGGGUGUUGUCCGGCGCAACGAAGGAGAACUGCGUCGCUCUCCUUUGCUACAGGCCCCAAGAAGGAAAAAAAUGUUUAAAGACACGAAGUUCUGAAGGAAAGCAUCCGCUUUUUCAUCUGAGAGAGAGAGGUAGGAUAUUCAAGGAGAGCUACGCCUUCCACCUAUCUCGCCCGCCCGCGACCAUUAGAUUUCAUCGGUCUGCCUUCUAAAUUUCCAGCUGGGAGUUAAACUGCAAGCAGCCAAAACAAUGACGACAAGUGCGGUGCGGAUCCCACUUUGCAGGGUUUCUGAAAUUCUUAACUGAAGGCCUCCUCUUGCCCUAACGGCGAACGGCCGCCAGGGGGCAAAGAGGCACCAACAAAGGCCCAACGAGCCAAUCCCCUGGGCUUCUCUCUGCAGACAGCGUUUUUAAAAACAUGCUCUGGUUGCAAAGGUCUUCUUUUCUAUUUGCAAAGGAUUUUCCGCUCUCGCUCCCUAUUCCCCCCCCCCGCCAAAAUAAAUAAAAAUGAAAUAAAAAUAUUUUCCUUGGG
Molecule: non-coding RNA, 778 nt
Organism: Podarcis muralis (Common wall lizard)
Lineage: Eukaryota; Metazoa; Chordata; Lepidosauria; Squamata; Lacertidae
Source: RefSeq, a predicted model, not a curated record